GUGAAUCAUCAAAUUUUUGAACGCAAAUUGCACUCUCUUCGGAGAGUAUGCCUGUUUGAGGGUCAGCCUAAAAAAAAUCGACAUCGUUGCUGUUUCGCGGUGGCGUUCGUCGGAAAUUGGGUUAUCUUAAAUCUUUUGUUUAUGCGACUUAAAAUUUUCUUUUCUAUUCCUUUAACGUUUCCUAGAUUUUUUUCUUUUCACGGUUAAGGUAUUGGUUUUAUUAUGCAUGUUCGUCAUAUCU
This 241-nucleotide unclassified non-coding RNA is filed under the name Glomus sp. RNAcentral describes it as "partial contains 5.8S ribosomal RNA and internal transcribed spacer 2". The stretch from base 1 to 65 matches the Rfam family "5.8S ribosomal RNA", at positions 84 to 154 of the family's 154-position model. Lineage: Eukaryota; Fungi; Glomeromycota; Glomeromycetes; Glomerales; Glomeraceae. The record is from RNAcentral.